GGAAGUGUGCCCGAGAUUAGGGACUACUUUGAUAGAGUAAAUACAGAGACAAAACCUCUCUCUUCC
This 66-nucleotide transfer RNA is filed under the name Kinyongia tenuis (Matschie's dwarf chameleon). RNAcentral describes it as "transfer RNA-Ile". Lineage: Eukaryota; Metazoa; Chordata; Lepidosauria; Squamata; Chamaeleonidae. The record is from RNAcentral.